GGUCCAGUAGCUCAGUUGGAUAGAGCAACUGCCUUCUAAGCAGUCGGUCGCUGGUUCGAGUCCAGCCUGGAUCG
This 74-nucleotide transfer RNA is filed under the name Synechococcus phage S-B64. It matches the Rfam family "tRNA". From Rfam's summary of the family: Transfer RNA (tRNA) molecules are approximately 80 nucleotides in length. Their secondary structure includes four short double-helical elements and three loops (D, anti-codon, and T loops). RNAcentral also lists the same sequence under 1 other name. Lineage: Duplodnaviria; Heunggongvirae; Uroviricota; Caudoviricetes; Pantevenvirales; Kyanoviridae. The record is from Rfam by way of RNAcentral.